CUGCUACUUUGCAAUCUAUCAGAUUUCAUGCAGUCCAGCCAAGAUGUGAUUUAGCUAACAAGUAUUCAAGUAUAAGGAGGCCAAGAGAUAGGUACUUGCUGUUCUCAGUUCUGGAUCCAGGUCUGCAGAGAUCUUGCAGCUUCCAUUUUGCCCUUUGGACCCUGGCCAUCAUGUAAAGACCUGCUAUCAUGCUGGAGGAGAGGCCAUGUGAAGAGAGUCCCCUGGAGGAUGAGAGAGAAGCCAGGCAGAGAAGGACUGAAGAGCCCCAGCCAGCAGCCAGCACUGAAUCCCAGACCUGUGAGUGAGGCCACCUUGGAUCCUCA
RNAcentral lists this long non-coding RNA (323 nucleotides) under Homo sapiens (human). RNAcentral describes it as "HSALNT0150781". The record is from RNAcentral. Lineage: Eukaryota; Metazoa; Chordata; Mammalia; Primates; Hominidae.